GAAAUCUGUUGUGAAGAUUACAGCUGAUAUUCGUUUUUUUAGAUCAGCUAGUAACCUGCUGGACACAUGGAUAGGUCAUGUGGAUUCCUUACACGGCAGGAAGUUGGAAGUUGGACAACCUACUUGGAUUUCAUCCGUAAGACCAUGGACAACAUAUUGCUAUUAUUUAAUAUUUAUAUACCAGUGCUGAUCAGAGGUCUCAGUAAGACUAGUCUAGGUGGUGCACUGACUGAACAGUUGCACAUCACGCUUCUCAGGAGCAGAUCCUUCAGAGGUGAAUUUUACUUUUACUGAGGUCACUGGCAAAAUUUCCACCAGCUUCACAGAGGUUCUUAGAGAGACCUGGUCCAAGUAGAGACACCUGAUGAUCCCAUGACCCUAGGCUGACUAUAGAUGGAAUGUUUGUGAAUUUAAAAAUCCCAAGAUGUUAUUCUGGAUGCUCAGCACCAGGAGUUGAAGCAAUCAACUUGGCUCAUGAUCAAGGUGCAAACAUUGCAGCUAGAUCUUCAGUGUGCGCCAUGCCAAAGAACAGAGAGCUCUGCGGAAAUCCUGGCCAUGGAGAUGAGUUGAAAGUCAGCUCAAGAUGAUGCGUGUGAAGGGCUUAACAAUUUUGAUAUAGUGUCUAUUGAGCCUCGGCAGAAAGCUCUAUCAAGAGGCAAAAAAUUAGCACUGAAAUGCUCAGCCUCUGUUUAACCAAGUGGCCAGAGGCUUGGACAAAUACUCAGAUCUACUCGCUAGGGGAUUGGGCACAAGUUUGCUGAGAGGAGUGACGAGCUCUGGCUCAGACAUGAGACAUACUGGAGCCACAGGUCUCACAUGUACAAGCCUCAGUGCAAGAACUAAGGCCAUGCUUUCUUUCCACAAUUAUUUCUGGAGUGAUAACUUUUGGCUCCCUGCAGUUUGCCAACAGAGCUGUAGAUUCCUGAAAAAUUGCUUCGAGCGUACUGACCUUUCUAUUCUGAGCCACCUUUCACUCAUCCCUUAGAAACAGCAGCGAGCCCCAGGGAAGCACAGCCUGCAGGCUGCAAACCACUGCCCUAGAUACUCCUCAGGCAGUUCUGAAGCACCAGCUUUCCCCAGGCUGCAGAAAAUCUGACCUUAGCAUAACCUUUCUGGAGAGACAGACCCAGGCAGAAAAAACACCCUUUGGGAAGGUUUCAGUGAAGUAAUCCCUCAUGGGCAGUGGCCUGCAGCGAAGCACCAACCCCUCUUUCUUUUAGUAGAAACUCGUCUCUACUGAUUUCAUCUUAUCACAUGCUAGAUAACCACCGAGGGCUGCUCCGAAAGUAAUGCCUCCUAUUUUAUUAUGUUGGCCCACAAUGUCAGACGUGAAUGUUGUUGGUAUAGUAGCAGAAGUUGAACCUUCCCAGCAAUAUCUCAUUACAUGCUGUUGCCGUGUGACAGAUGGCAGCAGAGGGGCAGUCUUACAAAAUGGCAUCUGUCAUGGAAGCACACAUGAAGUAAAGGUGUGGCACUGAAUUCCUCUACAUGGGAAAAUGGCAUCCACUGACAUUCACUGACAUCUGUUGAACGUUUAUGGAGACCAAUCAGUGGAUGUGAACACAGUGAGGUGAUGUGUGGUACAUUUCAGCAGUGGCGACAGUGACGUGGGAGACAUGCCAAGUUCUGAAUGGCCAUGCAGAGCUGUCACACCAUGAAACAAAGAGCUCAUCUCAAUCAGUUCACCUGUGUGAACUGCGAUUAUACACAGGGAACUGUAUAUGGAGCUUAAUAUCAACUUCAGUGCGUUGGAAAUGAUGGUGACAAUAUUGGAAUAUCAAAAAGUUUGCACCAGGUGGGUCCCAUGAAUGCUCACACAGGCACAGAAAUAACAUCAUAUGCAAGUUUGUCAGGAUCUGUUGAACCAAUAUGAGGCUGAAGGUGACUGCUUUCAGGACCAUAUCAUUACCAGUGAUGUGGUGUCACACUAUGAGCUGGAGUCAAAACAGCAGUCCAUGGAGAGGCAACAUGUGAAUUCCACACUGAAGAAAAAGUUCAAGAUGCAGUCCUUAGUGAGUAAAGUGAUGCGUGCUGUUUCUUGCGAUAGGAAAGGAGCAGUCCUUCUGAAUUUCAUGGAACCUGAACAAACCAUCAACUCUGACCACUAUGUAGCAAGAUGAAGGUUCAAAGUUGCAGUCAGGCCAGAGAAGAAUACAACCUUUCUCUUGCAAUGCAAUAAUGCCAGGCCCCAUAUCAGUCUGAAGACCAUUAAGCACACUGUCAGUCUUGGCUGCACUGUCCUACCAUACCCACUGUAUAGUCUAGAUUUGGUCCCUUCUGAUUUCCAUCUGAUCAGACCAAUGAAAGAUGGAUUGUGUGGGCAACCUUUUCCUUGUAACGGCAGCUGUGUAAUAGUGGGUCACCUUUACUGGUGCAGAUUGUUACAACCACAGCGUGCAGGCUCUUGUUCACCUCUGAUGAUAAUGUGUAUCUACUGGUGGUGAUUAUGUUGAAAGAUUGUGUUUUGUAG
Gallus gallus (chicken) is the source of this 2470-nucleotide long non-coding RNA. The record is from Ensembl. Lineage: Eukaryota; Metazoa; Chordata; Aves; Galliformes; Phasianidae.